AUGGACAGCGAAGCACCCGAGAAAGUGCCAGCACUAGCAUCCAGCAGGGAGGGCAACAAAAAGCAAGUGACUAGUAGUAGAAAAGAGGAGCAAUCAGAAACCAAGAUUGUCAUUCCUCCUAGAGAAAAAAGACAAAAGAGAAAGGACAAAACUCAACUCAUCAGCGAUGGUGCUACCUUGAAGCAGCAACAGCCAAGUCCUCUAAUGAUACUCCCGCCAGCAGUUCCACGCGCCGACAAUGAUGUAAAUAAAGCCAAGAAGAAAAACAAAAGACAAUGGUUGGAAGAAGACGAGGAUGAUGCCAGCAAAGAGUCAAAGCGUGAUGCUGCCGACGACGACGAUGGCACAAAACAUGAUGAUGAUGUCAUUCGUACAGAGGGUGAUGGUGCUGCAAGGGAGAACGGUGGCGCCGCAGAGGACAACAACGAUGAUGUAAAAACAAGACAGAAGUGCACAAAGAGAAGAAAGACAAGUGGAAAAGAAUUGGCAGCACCAACGGAUGAUGAAUAG
This 510-nucleotide ribosomal RNA is filed under the name Triticum aestivum (bread wheat). RNAcentral's name for it is "partial small subunit ribosomal RNA". Lineage: Eukaryota; Viridiplantae; Streptophyta; Magnoliopsida; Poales; Poaceae. The record is from RNAcentral.